Small nuclear RNA from Echinops telfairi (small Madagascar hedgehog), 107 nucleotides. Lineage: Eukaryota; Metazoa; Chordata; Mammalia; Afrosoricida; Tenrecidae. The record is from RefSeq and is a predicted model, not a curated record.
GUGCACGCUUUGGCAGGACAUAUAUUAAAACUGGAACAAUACAGAGGAGACUAGCAGGGCCCCUGCACAAUGGUGACAUGCAAAUUUGUGAAGCAUUCCAGAUUUUU